UGCAGGGCUCCAGUGAUGAUGAGAGCGAGGAGGUGAAGGGCUCCAGUGAUGGUGAGAGCGAGGAGGUGCAGGGCUCCAGUGAUGAUGAGAGCGAGGAGGUGAAGGGCUCCAGUAAUGGUGAGAGCGAGGAGGUACAGGGCUCCAGUGAUGGUGAGAGCGAGGAGGUGCAAGGCUCCAGUGAUGGUGAGAACGAGGAGGUGCAGGGCUCAGUGAUGGUGAGAGCAAGGAGGUGCAGGGCUCAGUGAUGGUGAGAACGAGGAGGUGCAGGGCUCCAGUGAUGGUGAGAACGAGGAGGUGCAGAGCUCCAGUGAUGGUGAGAGCGAGGAGGUGCAGAGCUCCAGUGAUGGUGAGAGCGAGGAGGUGCAGAGCUCCAGUGAUGGUGAGAGUGAGGAGGUGCAGAGCUCCAGUGAUGGUGAAAGUGAG
Apodemus sylvaticus (European woodmouse) is the source of this 423-nucleotide long non-coding RNA. RefSeq lists it as uncharacterized. The record is from RefSeq and is a predicted model, not a curated record. The transcript has 4 exons. Lineage: Eukaryota; Metazoa; Chordata; Mammalia; Rodentia; Muridae.